GCAUCCGUAGCUCAGCUGGAUAGAGCGCUGCCCUCCGAAGGCAGAGGUCAGGGGUUCGAAUCCCUUCGGAUGCA
Aureimonas sp. Leaf454 is the source of this 74-nucleotide transfer RNA. It matches the Rfam family "tRNA". Rfam says of the family: Transfer RNA (tRNA) molecules are approximately 80 nucleotides in length. Their secondary structure includes four short double-helical elements and three loops (D, anti-codon, and T loops). The record is from Rfam. NCBI's taxonomy places the organism in Bacteria, Pseudomonadati, Pseudomonadota, Alphaproteobacteria, Hyphomicrobiales, Aurantimonadaceae.